UUGGCCACCUUAAAGAGUGGGGAAAUGGAGAUCCAGAGAGCUGUAAGGGCCUGCGUUGGCUCAGAGACGUGCUUGUGGUGUAGUGUGUGUUCCCUUCCUCGUGUUUGCAAAGGCUUUAGGCAAUAGCUGCACCAUAGCACAGAGCAAGGAAGAAGCAGUUAGCAGAAGUCCAAGGUGCAGGUUUAUUGCCCUCUGUAACUUCUCUCCUGAACAAGUCCCCUGACCCAGCAGGGAAGUUUCUGCUCCACUACCACCAGAUGAGAUGGGCCCCAUUAACACACAGACUGACAAGGACAUGCGCUCAGCACCCGUUGCUAUGAGUGACAACACAGUGCUGCCGCUGUGAUGGCACUGUGGGACCAGAUCCCCAUGGGACUCUGUGCCUCAGUUUCCCCAGCUGCCCAAGGACACUCACACUGGGGCCACCUCCAUCGUUUCCACCAGCCCUACAGGAGAGGCAUCAAAUACUGUUUAAUUCCAUGCCUGCAGCUUUCAGACGCUUGGCGCUGAUUUCUUGCAACACUUUGGAAAAAAAAAAAAUCACACUGCACACCACACCUUUGCAACAAAAGUCCAGUUUGGGAUCCUAACAGAGCACUGCAUGGUACAGCACAGAACACACCAUGAAGCAUUAUGCAAUGAG
Molecule: non-coding RNA, 643 nt
Organism: Meleagris gallopavo (turkey)
Lineage: Eukaryota; Metazoa; Chordata; Aves; Galliformes; Phasianidae
Source: RefSeq, a predicted model, not a curated record